GCUCCAACCUCGUAAAGUGAGCAGAGAGUAAGAAAAUCGUUCCUUAGCCAAAUGUUCCUGGAAAGGACAACCGUAGAAGGUGAGAGUCCUGUAGGCGAAAGGGAGCGGUCUCUCGGCGUAUUGUUGAGUACCACGGGACACGAGAAAUCUUGUGGGAAGCUGGGGGGACCACCCUCCAAGGCUAAAUACCCUUGGCCACCGAUAGUGAACCAGUACCGUGAGGGAAAGGUGAAAAGUACCCCGAGAGGGGAGUGAAAUAGACCUGAAACCGUAAACUUACAAGCCGUGGGAGCCUCGAGCUAGUCUUGGGGUGACCGCGUGCCUAUUGAAGGAUGAGCCGGCGAGUUAAUCUAGGCAGCUUGGUUAAGGAACAGAAGUUCUGGAGCCGCAGCGAAAGCGAGUCCUAAUAGGGCGCGAAUCGGGCGGAGGCAAGGCUGCCGGCGGAUUUCUCGAUAAGCACCGGCUUCGCUAUUUCGGAUUGGGUGGCUAGGGACGCAAGCCCCCGGUUACCCUGUAUACGCCGCAAGGCGUACCGGAUGGUGGGGUCGGAGCCUCGAGGAUGAAACCGGCGGACGAGUCUCCACCAAGCCCGGUGUGUUGUCUGGAUUAGACCCGAAACCGGGUGAGCUACCCAUGGCCAGGUUGAAGCCCCGAUAAUAUCGGGGUGGAGGACCGAACCCGUUUCCGGUGCAAAGGGAUGGGAUGAGCUGUGGGUAGGGGUGAAAUGCCAAUCGAACCCGGAGAUAGCUGGUUCUCCCCGAAAUGCAUUGAGGUGCAGCCUCGAGGGUGAAUGUUGGAGGUAGGGCUCUGGAUGGGCUAGGGGGCGUGAGCUUACCAAACUCAACCAAACCACGAAUGCCUCAAGAUGUUCCUUGGGAGUGAGACAGUGGGGGAUAAGCUCCAUUGUCGAGAGGGAAACAGCCCAGAUCGCAGGCUAAGGUCCCUAAGUGUGAACUAAGUGUGAAAGGAAGUGGGAUUCCUAAAACAGCUAGGAGGUUGGCUUAGAAGCAGCCACCCUUUAAAGAAAGCGUAACAGCUCACUGGUCGAGCGAGCCUGCACCGAAAAUUUAACGGGGCUCAAGUCAUGCGCCGAAGCUAUGGGAUUUAUAUUUAUAUAAAUCGGUAGGGGAGCGUUCCCUGUGCAGUGAAGCUGAAUCGAAAGGGUCAGUGGAGCGCAGGGAAGUGAGGAUGUUGGCAUAAGUAACGAAAAUGUGGGCGAGAAACCCACACGCCGAAAGCCCAAGGUUUCCCGGGCCAUGUUAUUCAGCCCGGGGUUAGUCGGCACCUAAGACGAGGCCGAAAGGCGUAGUCGACGGAAAACCGGUUCAUAUUCCGGUACUUGCAUGUGCGCGUGAUGGAGGGACGCAGGAGGAUAGGCCGGCCUGGUGAUGGAUAUCCAGGUUCAAGGCCGUAGGCGGAAGUCUCAGGUAAAUCCGGGACUUUAUCUAACGCCGAGAGUCGAUGACGAGAGGCUUUGCUUCGCAAAGCGGUCGAUUCCACACUGCCAAGAAAAGCUUCUAAGCAUAGCAGAUGCAAACCGUACCCCAAACCGACACAGGUGGGCGGGUAGAGAAUACCAAGGCGCUUGAGGGAAAUCAUGUUAAGGAACUCUGCAAAAUAACUCCGUAACUUCGGAAGAAGGAGUGCCUGCAGCGGUGAAGGGACUUGCUCCUGGAGCUUAAGCGGGCCGCAGUGACCAGGCCCAGCCGACUGUUUAGCAAAAACACAGCACUCUGCUAAAUCGCAAGAUGAUGUAUAGGGUGUGACGCCUGCCCGGUGCCGGAAGGUUAAUGGGAGGGGUUACCCCGCUUCUAAAUGGUUUUUUGAUUAAAAACGCAAAUGCAUUAUGUUUAUAUCAUACAUAGUGAUAAUGACCAGUUCUACAUUGGUUAUAGUUCUGAUUUAAGAGCAAGUAUAACUGCUCAUAAUGAAGGACAAACCAAGUCAACAAGAGGACGAAUAUGGAAAUUAGUUUACUAUGAAGCAUAUCUGGAUGAGAAAAGUGCUCGUCACAGAGAGAGGAUGUUAAAACAUGAUGGUCGCACUCGUCGAUAUUUGAUGGAGCGAGUUAAAGAAAGCGUAAAGAAUCAUUUAGUAGCGGGGGAAGCUCCGAACUGAAGCCCCGGUAAACGGCGGCCGUAACUAUAACGGUCCUAAGGUAGCGAAAUUCCUUGUCGGGUAAGUUCCGACCUGCACGAAUGGCGUAACGAUCUGGGCGCUGUCUCAAUGUGAUUCUCAGUGAAAUUGAAAUGGCGGUGAAGAUACCGUCAACCCGCGGCAAGACGGAAAGACCCCGUGCACCUUUACUGCAGCUUGGCAGUGAACUUGGGAAAGAUUUGUGUAGGAUAGGUGGGAGGCUGCGAAGGGGGGGCGCUAGUCCCUCUGGAGCCAUCCUUGAAAUACCACCCUGAUUUUUUCUGUGUUCUAACUUAGUCCCGUUAUCCGGGACAAGGACCCUGUCUGGUGGGCAGUUUGACUGGGGCGGUCGCCUCCCAAAGAGUAACGGAGGCGCGCAAUGGUUCCCUCAGCCGGUUUGGAAAUCCGGCGCAGAGUGCAAAGGCACAAGGGAGCUUGACUGCAAGAGCGACAGCUCGAGCAGGUACGAAAGUAGGUCUUAGUGAUCCGGUGGCCCCGUGUGGAAGGGCCAUCGCUCAACGGAUAAAAGGUACGCCGGGGAUAACAGGCUAAUCGCGCCCAAGAGUUCAUAUCGACGGCGCGGUUUGGCACCUCGAUGUCGGCUCAUCGCAUCCUGGGGCUGAAGCAGGUCCCAAGGGUAUGGCUGUUCGCCAUUUAAAGCGGUACGCGAGCUGGGUUCAGAACGUCGUGAGACAGUUCGGUCCCUAUCUGCCGCGGGCGCAGGAGAUCUGAGGAGGUCUGCCCUUAGUACGAGAGGACCGGGGUGGACAGACCUCUGGUGAUCCGGUUGUUCCGCCAGGAGCAUUGCCGGGUAGCUACGUCUGGAACGGAUAACCGCUGAAAGCAUCUAAGCGGGAAGCCGGCUCCAAGAGCGAUCUCCCGGACCAUUAGGUCCCCAAAGGCCGCAGGAAGAUUACCUGUUUGAUAGGCCGGAAGUGGAAGCAUGGCAACAUGUGAAGCUGACUGGUACUAAUUGGCCGGGCGGCCUGACUUA
This 3130-nucleotide ribosomal RNA is filed under the name marine metagenome. RNAcentral describes it as "bacterial LSU rRNA". It matches the Rfam family "Bacterial large subunit ribosomal RNA", at positions 296 to 2925 of the family's 2925-position model. The record is from RNAcentral.